This 253-nucleotide ribosomal RNA is filed under the name uncultured bacterium. RNAcentral describes it as "partial 16S ribosomal RNA". It matches the Rfam family "Bacterial small subunit ribosomal RNA", at positions 524 to 776 of the family's 1533-position model. The record is from RNAcentral.
UACGUAGGGGGCUAGCGUUGUCCGGAAUCAUUGGGCGUAAAGAGCGCGUAGGCGGCCAGAUAAGUCCGGUGUGAAAGUCACAGGCUCAACCUGUGAAUGCCGCUGGAAACUGUCUGGCUAGAGUCCGGAAGAGGCGAGUGGAAUUCCUGGUGUAGCGGUGAAAUGCGCAGAUAUCAGGAGGAACACCAAUUGCGAAGGCAGCUCGCUGGGACGUUACUGACGCUGAGACGCGAAAGCGUGGGGAGCAAACAGG